This 103-nucleotide microRNA precursor is filed under the name Marmota monax (woodchuck). Lineage: Eukaryota; Metazoa; Chordata; Mammalia; Rodentia; Sciuridae. The record is from RNAcentral.
AGUGGGAUCGCUGAGUCAAAUGGUGGUUCCAUUCCAAGUUUUCUGAGGAAUCUCCAGACUGCUUUCCAAAGUAGUUGCACCAAUUUGUAAUCCCACCAACAAU